CUAAAUACUACCCAGUGACCGAUAGCGUAUAGUACUGUGAAGGAAAGGUGAAAAGCACCCCGGGAGGGGAGUGAAAAAGAACCUGAAACCCUGUGCCUACAAGCACCUAGAGCGCGUCAAUGCGUGAUAGGGUACUUUUUGUAGAACGGUCCGGCGAGCGAUUGUAUGCAGCAAGGUUAAGGACUUAAGGUCUGGAGCCGAAGCGAAAGCGAGUUUGAAAAGGGCGUUAAGUUGCAUAUAAUGGGCCCGAAACCGGGUGACCUACCCAUGGUCAGGUUGAAGUGGAAGUAAAAUUCCAUGGAGGACCGAACCGACCUCCGUUGAAAAGGCGGCGGAUGAACUGUGGGUAGCGGAGAAAUUCCAAUCGAACCCGGAGAUAGCUGGUUCUCCCCGAAAUAGUUUUAGGACUAGCCUCAAGUUAGAUACCUGGAGGUAAAGCACUGAAUAGCCUAGCGGCCGAGAGGUUAGCGAAGCUUAUCAAACUCAGAAUGCCAGAGUAUUGAUGCUUGGGAGUCAGACAGUGUCAGAUAAAUGUCAUUGUCAAAAGGGAAACAGCCCAGAUCUACAGCUAAGGUCCCAAAGUCAGGUUAAGUGGAAAACGAUGUGAAGAUACGCAGACAACCAGGAUGUUGGCUCAGAAGCAGCCACUCAUUCAAAGAGUGCGUAAUAGCUCACUGGUCGAGCGUCUUUGCGCGGAGAAUUUAACGGGGCUAAACCUGACACCGAAGCUUAGGCAAUACAGCAAUGUAUUGGGUAGGGGAGCGUUGUAUACGCGGUGAAACAGUAGCGCAAGCGGCUGUGGAGUGUAUAGAAGUGAGAAUGCCGGAAUGAGUAGCGCGAAUGCAGUGAGAAUCUGCAUGGCCGAAAGCCUCAGGUUUCUGGAGGAAGGUUCGUCCGCUCCAGGUCAGUCGGGAGCUAAGGUGAGGCCUAACGGCGUAGCCGAUGCACAGACGGUAGAGAUUCCGUCACCACCAAAAGAGUUAAACACAGGGACACAUUUGAAGUCUCGGAGCCGGGUGUUGGUUCCGGUAGCGAUCGAGGGAAAUUAGUACCGAAGUCCGGGAUGGAAGAUGGCGAGAAAAGCUGUGUGUAUUUCUGCGGUGCCCGUACCGCAAACCGACACAGGUAGGUAGGAAGAAGAUUCUAAGGCCAACGGGAGAAGGGUUGUUAAGGAACUCGGCAAAUUGACCCCGUAACUUCGGGAGAAGGGGUGCUGCAGCAAUGCAGCCGCAGAGAAUCGGCCCAAGCAACUGUUUACCAAAAACACAGGUUUGUGCUAAAUCGAAAGAUGACGUAUACGAGCUGACGCCUGCCCGGUGCUGGAAGGUUAAGAGGAGAUGUGCAAGCAUUGAAUCGAAGCCCCAGUGAACGGCGGCCGUAACUAUAACGGUCCUAAGGUAGCGAAAUUCCUUGUCAGGUAAG
Molecule: ribosomal RNA, 1422 nt
Filed under: human gut metagenome
Description: bacterial LSU rRNA
Rfam family: Bacterial large subunit ribosomal RNA
Source: RNAcentral